This is a long non-coding RNA of Microplitis demolitor, 1385 nucleotides long. RefSeq annotates it as tRNA N(3)-methylcytidine methyltransferase METTL6. NCBI's taxonomy places the organism in Eukaryota, Metazoa, Arthropoda, Insecta, Hymenoptera, Braconidae. The transcript is spliced from 12 exons. The record is from RefSeq and is a predicted model, not a curated record.
UCCUCAGUGACCCGAAGUCUCGGCCAUUUCGUAACGAGAUCCUCACCGGAAUUAAUAAUGGAAGAUUCAAAAGCGGACUUAACCUCUAGCCACGUGCCGAAGAAAUUGACCCAAGAGGAGAUUAACAAAAUGCGUGCGCAGGAUUCGCGUCUGGUGCCGGAAAAUCGGGCAUUAAUGUUAGAAAAAGAUGCUAAAAAAUACUGGGAUUUAUUUUACAAGCGUAACGACACGCGGUUUUUCAAAGACCGCCAUUGGACGACACGUGAGUUCGCGGAAUUAGUGACUAUGAGUUCUCGCGACGGAUCAAUAUUUGAAGUCGGAUGCGGCGUCGGGAAUUUAAUUUAUCCCUUGUUAGAGGACGGAUUAAAUUUUAAACGUAUAUAUGUCUGCGAUUUAUCUCCGCGAGCUAUCGAUUUUGUCAAGAACCAUCGCCUCUAUGAUGAAAAUAAAAUAAAAGCAUUUCAAACGGAUAUUACUACAGAUAAUUGUUUUUCACAAAUCGAUCAACACGUGGACGUCAUUACUUUGAUAUUUGUUCUUUCCGCCAUUCACCCAGAUAAAUUUAAUAUGGUCGCUACUAAUUUAUUCAAUUGUAUGGCCAAGGACGGAGUCCUUUUAUUCCGUGAUUACGGACUUUAUGACAUGGCGCAGCUGAGGUUCAAACCGGGACACAAGAUUGCUGAUAACUUUUACAUGAGGCAAGACGGAACGAGGAGUUAUUAUUUUGCUACGGAAGAGGUCAAGAGCAUUUUCGAGUCAGUCGGCUUCGAAACACUGACCUGCGAGUACGUAAACAGGCGCACGGUCAAUGUUAAAGAAAAUGUCGAUGUCCCAAGGAUUUUCGUUCAAGCGAAAUUCAAAAAACCUUGAAGAGUAUGAAACUCGAGAUGUGCUGAAUAAAUCAUCAAAAGUGAUCUUCAUUGUUAGAACCGAAAAUAAUCGCAGUCACCCUACGUCGAGAAUAUGUACCAGAUCUGGAAUAAUAAUAGACCGGGUUGCAAUCCAUCCUACCUCAAGGACAUUUAAAUAUCAGAUUUCCAGAACGUGAAUAAUUUAAAACUUCAAGAAAAAGAAAUUUAUUAGAAGCUGAACCCGCUCGCUUGACCGGACCGUCAAUUAUUUAAUGAAAUGGUGUCACAACCUCAGAUCUCGAGGCAGUCUACCAGUUCCUCUACUCGAAAUUGGUCUACGGCUUCAAACCUGUGCAGCUGAAACGUUCACACGGUUCUCUGGGGAUUAAAUAAUAAAAUGAUUAAUUUAAAUAAAUAAAAGUAAUAAUUUAUUUACCUUGAGAUCGACGUCUUCUGUGGAUGGAGUUACCCAGAGGACAUCUUGUACAAUAAACACAUAAAAACAAUAUAAAUACAGUUAUUAAAAUAACGGAA